CCUACGGGAGGCAGCAGUGGGGAAUCUUGCACAAUGGAGGAAACUCUGAUGCAGCGAUGCCGCGUGAGUGAAGAAGGCCUUUGGGUUGUAAAGCUCUUUUGUAGGGGAAGAUAAUGACUGUACCCUAAGAAUAAGGUCCGGCUAACUUCGUGCCAGCAGCCGCGGUAAUACGAAGGGACCUAGCGUAGUUCGGAAUUACUGGGCGUAAAGCGCGCGUAGGCCGUUGAGUUAGUUAAUUGUGAAAUCCCAAAGCUUAACUUUGGAACUGCAAUUAAAACUGCUCGACUAGAGUUUGAUAGAGGAAAGCGGAAUACAUAGUGUAGAGGUGAAAUUCGUAGAUAUUAUGUAGAACACCAGUUGCGAAGGCGGCUUUCUGGAUCAACACUGACGCCGAGGCGCGAAAGUAUGGGUAGCAAGGAGGAUUAGAUACCCUCGUAGUCCAUACCAUAAACGAUGAUUGCUAGAUGUUGGAAAUUUAUUUUCAGUAUCGCAGCUAACGCAUUAAGCAAUCCGCCUGGGGAGUACGACCGCAAGGUUAAAACUCAAAGAUAGUGCGNGNGAGAGCGACGACGACGACGACGAGGAGAG
RNAcentral lists this ribosomal RNA (588 nucleotides) under uncultured bacterium. RNAcentral's name for it is "bacterial SSU rRNA". It matches the Rfam family "Bacterial small subunit ribosomal RNA", at positions 338 to 945 of the family's 1533-position model. The record is from RNAcentral.